Alligator mississippiensis (American alligator) is the source of this 1084-nucleotide long non-coding RNA. RefSeq lists it as uncharacterized. Lineage: Eukaryota; Metazoa; Chordata; Crocodylia; Alligatoridae. The record is from RefSeq and is a predicted model, not a curated record. The transcript is spliced from 3 exons.
CGCCAUGACUCGGAUAGGGACACCCAGAAUGAUCGGUUGAGAUACAGACCGUCUCCUCACUGACGCCCCAGUGCCAAACUAAGAGUCAGAAGUAUGGAUCAUACUGAGCUUCAGGAAAAGUUUGUAUAGUCUUGCACUGGAUGAAGGGAACUCAGAGUACUCUGCUGCUUGGCUGCUACAAAUUCUCUGGUGGACUGGGAGAAAGACUGAGGCCACUAGCAACCCAGGAUCCAAAAUUGGCAGUAGUCCUGCCCCAGAACAGUGGACCAGGAUUACAGAAGAAACUGAGGAAAGGAACAGACAGUGUUUAUGUCUAGUAUACAUAAAGUGGUCCCACUGGGACCCAGUAGCUGGUCCCACUAAUGGGAAGGGGACCUGCUGUGACAACAGUAUCAGAACAUUAAUCAUCGUUAGUGCUUCAGUAAAUGAUUAAGGAAGGAAUCUUGCCUUGAGAUGUAAUGACUUGCAUUUGCACUGCUGGGCUGUUUCCACAGGAAGUAAAAUUAAAGUUCCACCCUAAUUAAACUGUUUCUUGCCUCUUGUUUUUCCUGCAGUCCAGAGAGCACUGCACUGCAAGCCCUGGUGUAGAGAAUAAGCCAGUGGCUAUGAACAAAGGCUUGAGUGGUAAGAAAGAGAGAGUUGCAACAGACAUAGAUGAACAGAUUUUGCAACUGGGCUGCAUCAUCAGUCUCUCACCUAUCUGGAGACACAGAAGAGGAUCUGCCCUUUCAAAUGCACCCUGGGCUUGAAGUUCAUUUUUUAGAAAAGUAAUGUUCCUUCUCCUGUACUCUAGGUUGCUAGCAUUACACAACUAUCUUUGAGGCUGGUAUGAACAACUGGCCACAGGACUAUACAGGAUAUGGCAACUGUCACAAUAUUUUCUCAAGGGAUAUUUUGUAAGGUGAAACCAGUAUGCUCUCAUGACCAAAUAUUAGUCUGUUUUCCUAUUAAUGUCUCAAAAAUCCCACACCUCAGAUUAUGUAAUACUUACCAUUAGCCCAUUACUCCUGGGCAAGAAUUAUAGUCACUCCAAAAUCUCUGUUUUUCUGCAAAUCAGAUGACAAAUGAAAAUAUUUUACAUAUC